Molecule: small nucleolar RNA, 139 nt
Organism: Esox lucius (northern pike)
Lineage: Eukaryota; Metazoa; Chordata; Actinopteri; Esociformes; Esocidae
Gene: SNORD94
Product: small nucleolar RNA SNORD94
Source: Ensembl
CUGGCUGUGAUGAGACGCGCAGGGGUACGGACCUCAGCUGAUCAUGGGAGCUGAGUGUUGGUGCUGGUUACCCGCUCAGUGGGCGUGUGGUCUACUGCCCGGGAGCUGCCAACAUGAUACAGACGCACUGCUGAGCCAC